CCUACGGGGAGCUGCAGUGGGGAAUAUUGGACAAUGGGCGAAAGCCUGAUCCAGCCAUGCCGCGUGUGUGAAGAAGGCCUUCGGGUUGUAAAGCACUUUCAGUGGGGAAGAAAGCCUUGGGGCUAAUACCCUCGAGGAAGGACAUCACCCACAGAAGAAGCACCGGCUAACUCCGUGCCAACAGCCGCGGUAAUACGGAGGGUGCGAGCGUUAAUCGGAAUUACUGGGCGUAAAGCGCGCGUAGGCGGUCUGAUAAGCCGGUUGUGAAAGCCCCGGGCUCAACCUGGGAACGGCAUCCGGAACUGUCAGGCUAGAGUGCAGGAGAGGAAGGUAGAAUUCCCGGUGUAGCGGUGAAAUGCGUAGAGAUCGGGAGGAAUACCAGUGGCGAAGGCGGCCUUCUGGACUGACACUGACGCUGAGGUGCGAAAGCGUGGGUAGCAAACAGGAUUAGAUACCCUAGUAGUC
Molecule: ribosomal RNA, 465 nt
Filed under: Vreelandella stevensii
Lineage: Bacteria; Pseudomonadati; Pseudomonadota; Gammaproteobacteria; Oceanospirillales; Halomonadaceae
Description: partial 16S ribosomal RNA
Rfam family: Bacterial small subunit ribosomal RNA
Source: RNAcentral